RNAcentral lists this ribosomal RNA (433 nucleotides) under uncultured bacterium. Its description in RNAcentral is "partial 16S ribosomal RNA". It matches the Rfam family "Bacterial small subunit ribosomal RNA", at positions 29 to 507 of the family's 1533-position model. The record is from RNAcentral.
AACGAACGCUGGCGGCAUGCCUAACACAUGCAAGUCGAACGAGACCUUCGGGUCUAGUGGCGCACGGGUGCGUAACGCGUGGGAACCUGCCCUUAGGUUCGGAAUAACUCCCCGAAAGGGGUGCUAAUACCGGAUAAUGUCUUCGGACCAAAGAUUUAUCGCCUUUGGAUGGGCCCGCGUUGGAUUAGCUAGUUGGUAGGGUAAAAGCCUACCAAGGCGACGAUCCAUAGCUGGUCUGAGAGGAUGAUCAGCCACACUGGGACUGAGACACGGCCCCGACUCCGACGGGAGGGAGGAGUUGGGAAUAUUGGAACAUGGGGCAAAGGCCGAACCAGCAAUGGCGGGGGAGGGAUUAAGGCCUUUGGGUUGUAAAGCUCUUUUACCCGGGAUGAUAAUGACAGUACCGGGAGAAUAAGCUCCGGCUAACUCCGUG